Molecule: ribosomal RNA, 661 nt
Filed under: Wirthiotrema desquamans
Lineage: Eukaryota; Fungi; Ascomycota; Lecanoromycetes; Ostropales; Graphidaceae
Description: SSU rRNA
Rfam family: Bacterial small subunit ribosomal RNA
Source: RNAcentral
AUAUUAACUAAGUUAAUUAAAGUUCUAAGUGGAUAUAUGAUUAUGACAAUAUUUACUUAUGUCUUGACCAAGUCACGUGCCAGCAGUCGCGGUAAUACGUGGAAGAUUAGUGUUAUUCAUUUUUAACAGGUUUAAAGGGUACCUAGACGGUUAAUUAAGCACUAAAAUGUACUAAUUAACUAGAGUUUAAUGUAAGAAAGAUUGAGUACGGUGAGUGUAGAGAUAAAAUUCUAUGAUACCACUUAGAAACUGGUAAAGGSGAAGGCAACUUUUUAUGCAAAAACUGACGUUAAGGGACGAAGGCUUGUAUCAAAGAACAGGAUUAGAUACCCUAGUAUUGUGGGCAGAAAAUGAUGAGUGUCAUAAGCAAGAAAUAAAUAUUUUUUUUGUAUAAAUGAAAGUGUAAGCACUCCACCUCAAGAGUAACGUGGCAACAUGGGAACUGAAAUCAUUAGACCGUUUCUGAAACUCGUAGUGAAGUAUGUUGUUUAAUUUGACACCACACAAAUAACCUUACCACAACUUGUAUAACUAUACUAUAUAAUAAUGUAGUUACAAGCGUUGCACGGCUGUCUUCAGUCAAUGUUGUGAAACUGUGGUUAGAUCCAUUAAAUUGACGUAAACCCUUACUUUAUUUAAAAUAAAGUAGUUCGCCGCUAUA